This 118-nucleotide ribosomal RNA is filed under the name Sorex araneus (European shrew). Lineage: Eukaryota; Metazoa; Chordata; Mammalia; Eulipotyphla; Soricidae. The record is from RNAcentral.
UGUGCCAUACCACCUUGAAUGUGCCCGAUCUCAUCUGAUCUCAGAAGCUAAGCAGGGUCGGGCCUACUUAGUACUUGGAUGGGAGAUUCACUAAUAAAAAAUUAAAAAAAAAACAUGC